Molecule: non-coding RNA, 203 nt
Organism: Cinara cedri
Lineage: Eukaryota; Metazoa; Arthropoda; Insecta; Hemiptera; Aphididae
Source: the annotation of a GenBank genome assembly
GUUCCCGACCUGCGGGCUUCUGACAGACGACACAGUCGCCAUGCUUCGGUCGGCGGAGGAACAUCGAACCAUCUCGAUCCUAGUAAGUAUUUUUUCAAAAACAAUUUUUUAUUCGUGAGUCGUAGCGGAAACACAUUAUACUAUUAUACACGUUCGGUAAUAGACGUAAAUAAUGUCUGAACAUACAAACGGCAUCAGCUCAG